This 440-nucleotide long non-coding RNA is filed under the name Bos taurus (domestic cattle). Its description in RNAcentral is "long non-coding RNA NONBTAT026132". The record is from RNAcentral. Lineage: Eukaryota; Metazoa; Chordata; Mammalia; Artiodactyla; Bovidae.
CACACCGCACAGAGACUACCGCCUCCUGAGCUGUCGCUGGGGUGGCCCAGUCCACCAUCGGUCGCAGUCACCACUGCGCCACUCUGAGUGACCCAUUCUGUCACGCUGCACUGUUACUCGCCUCCGUCCUUUAAGGAGCAGACCUCGGCUAGGGUAUUUUACAAAGCCUGCAUGUGAGUCAGUGUGCUUGAACUUUGUCUGCUUCCAAUUUGCUUCCAUGUGAAUUUCUGAAGUUUAUUUUUACUAUUGUAAGAAAUGAAGGAUGUUCUCGGUCCAUAUUCUUUCUGGCUGCCUCCAGAAAAGAUUAUUAUACCAUCUAGCAUUAGUUUCCUGAAGUAGAUUUUAUUUCAGUCUCAUUUUACCAGAAGUGCAACAUAUCCAGCCACUCCUGCAAAUUUGAUGGUUUUAACGAUUUCCAUAACUGUUAUAUUUUAAUUGCA